Molecule: RNA transcript, 2677 nt
Organism: Dama dama (fallow deer)
Lineage: Eukaryota; Metazoa; Chordata; Mammalia; Artiodactyla; Cervidae
Gene: MEFV
Gene name: MEFV innate immunity regulator, pyrin
Exons: 8
Source: RefSeq, a predicted model, not a curated record
AUCCAAUCCCAGACCCUCCCUCAAAGACUAAGCUACCACUCCGAAGUGCAGCCUGGGUCAGCGAGAGCUGGCGUGCAGGACCACCAUGUAGCUGACAAGGCAUUGAGCCCUCCUACCUGGAAAAGCCUCUGAUUCUUGGAGGAAGAGGACGCAAGCCAGCAAUGACACAGUAACAGCCUUAGUCUCAGUUCCCACCAAAACACAGAGCAUUUCCUGUGCCUUUUCCGUUAUUUCACAAGCUGCAUCUUCUAUUCUCCGGGCACCAAGACAGACAGUAGUUUUUUCCCUCAGAAGCAGGACAACUGCCUCCAGUCUCUUCUGGUCAACACCAUGGCCAGGACGCGGAGUGACCAUCUCCUGUACUCCCUGGAAGAGCUUUUGCCCUAUGACUUCGAGAAGUUCAAGUUCAAGCUGCAGAACACCAGCCUGGAGAAGGAGCACACCCGGAUCCCCCGGGGCCAACUGCAGACAGCUGAGCCGGUGAAGCUGGCCUCUCUGCUGGUCAACCACUACGGGGAGGAGUACGCGGUGCAACUGACCCUGCAGGUCCUGAGGGCCAUCAACCAGCACCUCCUGGCAGAGGAGCUUCACCGGGUGAUCAGCCCAGAGUGUUGGAUACAAGAAAGUGACACAGACAGCUCAGCAACGUCAGGUUCCUCUGGGGAGAUGAAGCCCAAGAGCCUAAAGACCUCAGAUGGCCUGGAAGGUGACAAGCAGCGACAAAGUGCUGAUGGGGCUGGCUGCCCACCCUCCAGCCAGCCUGAGGCUGGCAGGGGGCCCCAGAAGAAGCCUCUGGGCAAGCAGCGAGAUCAGAAAGGCUCUGAGGGCCUGGAGGUGCAGGGCAAGCUGGGGGCCAGGACCACGACUCUGUCUUCCAAGAGAAGCCCCGUCCUCCCCAAGGUGCCACGGGAGAAGGAGAAAGGGAGCUAUCCAGGUGUCAGGCUGCGGAGGAACGCCAGCUCUGCAGGAAGGCUCCAGGGACUCACCAGCGGGUCAUUCGCUGGGUCCCCAGGAAGGAGAGAAACAAAGACAUCAGAAGUAUGUUUACCUUCAGGAAAGAAGCGACCCAAAAGUCUUGAAUUUACCAUUUCUCCAGAAGAGACAGGACCCCUCCAUCCAGAAACUCUUCUGCUUCAGGAGAAGAUGAACACUGAGAAUCCAAGCUCAGCAACCACUGCCAGCGAAGUGGCCACUCUGAAAACAGGGCCAGCCGCGACUCUGGAGAAGGGCUCCAGGAAUCCAGAGCAUGCCACGACCCUGGAGGGGACAGCACUCAGGAAUACACCUCUCAGUGUACCGCUGGCUGGAAAGACGAGGAUUGGGGAGCAUCUAGAACCCACAGCUCCUGCAGAGAGGAGUGGAACUGGGGCCCUGAAGGCCUCCAGUGUGCCCCAUGAGCCGUCAGAUCCAGAAGUCUCUCCGUCUGCAGGGAGGCUGCAGGACAAGGCUGUGUGUCCUCUCUGCCGUGCCCAGGAAGGAGACCCGGUUGGUGGCAGCUGUGUGCACAUCUCCUGCAGCUGCUCUGCGGCUUCCAGGAACCCUGAGGCCUCACUCAGCCGCUCAUCCAGCUGCCCCCGGUGCCAGGACUUGCUCCCAGGGAAGAGCCACGGAAGCCGUGAGUGGCAGGAGGGCCUGCAGAUGGCCAGCCUGAACCCCAAGAACCUGCCACAGUGUGAGCGUCACAUGAAGCAGGUGCAGCUGCUCUUCUGCGAGGACCAUGGGGAGCUCAUUUGCCUUAUCUGCCGGCUGAGCCAGGAGCACCGGGGCCACCGGGUGCGCCCCAUUGAGGAGGCUGCCCUGGAAUACAAGGAGCAAAUUCAGAAGCAGUUGGAACAUCUGAAGGAGUUGAGAAAAUCUGGAGAGGAGCAGAUAUCUCAGGGGGAUAAGAAAACAGUGAACUCCCUGAAACAAGCUGAAACCCAGAAGCAGAGAAUCCAGUGCCAGUUGGAGCAGCUGUGCCAGUUUUUAGAGCAGCAGGAGCGGCUCUUUGUGGCCUGGCUAGAGGAACUGGGCCAGACCAUCGGCCAGGUUAGGGAGACGUACGGCACCCGAGGGACGAGAGACAUUGCCGUUCUCGACAAGCUGAUUGGGGAGCUGGAGGCCAAGCAGUGCCAGCCAGAGUGGGAGUUUAUGAAGGACAUUGGAGUCACCUUGCACAGGGCCAAGAUGGUGACUGUCCCUGAGCUGUGGGCCACGCCACCAGAGGUGAAAGAGAAGAUCCACCUGCUCUACCAGAAAUCAGAGUUUGUUGAGAAGCGCAUGAAGCACUUCUUGGGUAGGUGGGCUUGCGGGAGAAUGGGAGGAGCCCCCUCACCUGCCCUCAGGAGCCGUGUAGCCUGGGCCCCCUGGCAUUUCUUCUCCAUCUCUCUUGUCCUUUCUGUUUUGCCUUCAGCCUCUCCCAGAUCUGUCCCCAUCUGGGGAACCUAACUUGAACUCCUUCUCUCCUUUUAGAGACCCUGCGCUCAGAAGUGGAAAUGUUCAAUGUUAAUGUGAUUCUGGAAGCAGAAACUAUCCACUCCAACCUCAUCUUUCAUCUUCUCUGAUGACGUGAAGAGAGUGAGCCUUGGAGAAAAAAAGUGGGACCAUCUGCCUGCUAGUCCAGGAAGAUUCUAUAGCUGAAUCGUGGUGCUGGGCUCUCUAAGCCUGCUCUCUAGCCACCAUGACUGAGAAGUGAAGG